AUUGAACGCUGGCGGGAUGCCUUACACAUGCAAGUCGAACGGCAGCGCGGACUUCGGUCUGGCGGCGAGUGGCGAACGGGUGAGUAAWGUAUCGGAACGUGCCCAGUAGCGGGGGAUAACUACGCGAAAGCGUAGCUAAUACCGCAUACGCCCUGAGGGGGAAAGCGGGGGAUCUUCGGACCUCGCACUAUUGGAGCGGCCGAUAUCGGAUUAGCUAGUUGGUGGGGUAACGGCUCACCAAGGCGACGAUCCGUAGCUGGUUUGAGAGGACGACCAGCCACACUGGGACUGAGACACGGCCCAGACUCCUACGGGAGGCAGCAGUGGGGAAUUUUGGACAAUGGGGGCAACCCUGAUCCAGCCAUCCCGCGUGUGCGAUGAAGGCCUUCGGGUUGUAAAGCACUUUUGGCAGGAAAGAAACGGCGCCGGCUAAUACCUGGCGUAACUGACGGUACCUGCAGAAUAAGCACCGGCUAACUAC
This 481-nucleotide ribosomal RNA is filed under the name Bordetella sp. 'ARUP UnID 158'. RNAcentral describes it as "bacterial SSU rRNA". It matches the Rfam family "Bacterial small subunit ribosomal RNA", at positions 29 to 504 of the family's 1533-position model. Lineage: Bacteria; Pseudomonadati; Pseudomonadota; Betaproteobacteria; Burkholderiales; Alcaligenaceae. The record is from RNAcentral.